CGAAGCACCCACGUGGGCAGAGGUUCCCCUGGAUGCUGGCCUCACUGCUGCCUAAUUCAUACAACUCAGCUGGGGUACAGACAGUGUACGAAGUGCUGCGUUCUGGUGGGGGAUCCCUGAGCCUGUCCUUGGGGCCCCAGUGACCAUUCAUAAUCUACUUUCUGAUGGACCACUAGGCGAACCCUCAAUGGGGGUUCUUCCACCUGAGUAUCAGAUCGAGUGGGGGUCUCUGGCCUUGACAAUGGACCCAGGCCUGCACUCACAGCAGCCUCUCAUUCUUUUUCCAGUCUCUGAAGCCGGGCCUUUAGGAGCCCCACCUGUGCUUGGAGGUCCCCAUUCCUGGCAGGUUCUAACUCUUUUUCUGAGCUGUGUAGCCCAGCCCCCAGGUCCCUACCUGUGACUAGGGGCCCUUACCUGCAUCCCUCAUGGAUUGGAUGUGUACUUCUUACAGUGAAGUCACAAAUGCCCAUCCAACUCUUCUGGCAAAACCUUGCUCCUUCUUGCUACUCUGCGCUUCCAGCUGCUUCAGUGCCUUCUCAAUGCUUGCCGGAAACCCAUCUACUAGCAACCAGGUUUCCACCAGAGCCCAUCUGAGCAGCACAGCUGUCACCAGAUACCACAACCCACGUUGCAGCCACAUGGCUGACCCAGAAUCAGCAGGAACCAAAGGCUCAUUCACCUCGGAAUCCUGGUUGUGAUACCAAUUGUCACUGAGGCCUGAGGGGAGUCAGUGGAUUAUGGAAUCCAAAAUUGUCUGAGUGUGCCUAAAUAAUCAUGGACAAAGUAAAAUAAGGACAUUGACUCUCCACAAUGUAAAAUUUGAGAGAAGAAAAAGCCCCUAUGGUUUUAAUUGGGCAUAUGACCAUCUAUAUCAUUUUGGGUCCUCUGGAAAGCAAAUGCCAAGGUAGAAUUCCAUGUAAGAGAGAUUUCACUUCCAGACCAAGAGGAAAAAUAUCAGUAGUUGACAAGGAUCACUUUCUGAUCCUGAUACAGUGUAAUAUCUGUGAAAGGACAAAUGGAGGUAAG
Molecule: long non-coding RNA, 1026 nt
Organism: Callithrix jacchus (white-tufted-ear marmoset)
Lineage: Eukaryota; Metazoa; Chordata; Mammalia; Primates; Cebidae
Source: RefSeq, a predicted model, not a curated record